RNAcentral lists this ribosomal RNA (442 nucleotides) under uncultured Sphingobium sp. RNAcentral's name for it is "bacterial SSU rRNA". It matches the Rfam family "Bacterial small subunit ribosomal RNA", at positions 334 to 795 of the family's 1533-position model. Lineage: Bacteria; Pseudomonadati; Pseudomonadota; Alphaproteobacteria; Sphingomonadales; Sphingobiaceae. The record is from RNAcentral.
GACCUACGGGAGGCAGCAGUAGGGAAUAUUGGACAAUGGGCGCAAGCCUGAUCCAGCAAUGCCGCGUGAGUGAUGAAGGCCUUAGGGUUGUAAAGCUCUUUUACCCGAGAUGAUAAUGACAGUAUCGGGAGAAUAAGCUCCGGCUAACUCCGUGCCAGCAGCCGCGGUAAUACGGAGGGAGCUAGCGUUGUUCGGAAUUACUGGGCGUAAAGCGCACGUAGGCGGCGAUUUAAGUCAGAGGUGAAAGCCCGGGGCUCAACCCCGGAACUGCCUUUGAGACUGGAUUGCUAGAAUCUUGGAGAGGCGAGUGGAAUUCCGAGUGUAGAGGUGAAAUUCGUAGAUAUUCGGAAGAACACCAGUGGCGAAGGCGGCUCGCUGGACAAGUAUUGACGCUGAGGUGCGAAAACGUGGGGAGCAAACAGGAUUAGAUACCCGGGUAGUC